This 466-nucleotide ribosomal RNA is filed under the name uncultured bacterium. RNAcentral's name for it is "partial 16S ribosomal RNA". It matches the Rfam family "Bacterial small subunit ribosomal RNA", at positions 28 to 507 of the family's 1533-position model. The record is from RNAcentral.
GAUGAACGCUGGCGGCGUGCUUAACACAUGCAAGUCGAACGGAAAGGCUCCUGCUUGCAGGGGUACUCGAGUGGCGAACGGGUGAGAAACACGUGGGUGAUCUGCCCUGCACUUCGGGAUAAGCCUGGGAAACUGGGUCUAAUACCGGAUAGGACGAUGGUUUGGAUGCCAUUGUGGAAAGUUUUUUCGGUGUGGGAUGAGCUCGCGGCCUAUCAGCUUGUUGGUGGGGUAAUGGCCUACCAAGGCGUCGACGGGUAGCCGGCCUGAGAGGGUGUACGGCCACAUUGGGACUGAGAUACGGCCCAGACUCCUACGGGAGGCAGCAGUGGGGAAUAUUGCACAAUGGGCGCAAGCCUGAUGCAGCGACGCCGCGUGGGGGAUGACGGCCUUCGGGUUGUAAACUCCUUUCGCUAGGGACGAAGCGCAAGUGACGGUACCUGGAGAAGAAGCACCGGCUAACUACGUG